This 4007-nucleotide long non-coding RNA is filed under the name Marmota monax (woodchuck). The record is from RNAcentral. Lineage: Eukaryota; Metazoa; Chordata; Mammalia; Rodentia; Sciuridae.
GCACAUUUCUUCUUUAUUUAGAGUUUAAUUUUGCAAUAAUGUUUAUGUAAUUUUUUAAGUAAGAUUGUAUAUACAACAACAGUAUCCAUCAAUAAGCUAAGCAUUAAACUUACAAUGAAAUUCUUUUAAAUAAUCACCAAUAUUCCUAGUUUCCCCUCAGCCCAUAUACAGUUUUGGAGAAAAAAAAUCAUAAACCUGUAUGUUUAUGUUGUAGCCCUUAACAUGGUUGUAAUUUUACAAUAUGUAUUCCUUUGAUUAAUAUAUGGCCCCCAACUGCAUUAUAAAUUCUCCAAAGCACAGGAAGUCAUCUUUGCUUAGUAGUUUUUCAUCAUUGUAUUCACAGUGCACAGUUGCCUGGCACACUGAGGGUGCUCAAUAAAAAUUCAUUCAAAGAAUCAUUGUAAUAGUAGCUUGUUUUUAUUAACUGAUUGUUAAUAUUUAGUAUUUUACAUGUGGGUUAAACUAUUAAUUGCUGGGUUCCUAGCCCUUCAGAAGCCAACUGUUUUGCUUUUGCCCUGAGUCUUUGCAUACAAAACACCAUCAAUAUCAAUGAGUUCAUGUCAAUGAUAGCAGUGGUCCCUUUAUUUUUACAGCAUUCUAGAAUAGUAGUGCUACCAGGCUAGGAAGGGGGACACACUACUCCAGCAUCUCUUGGAAGAUAAAAUAAGGAUGGGGAGGAGGGUAAACUGACCUGAAAGUAAACAAACAAAAAAGAGUUUGAGGGUUCUAAUUUUCAUAUGGCCCCCUUUAUCCUUCCAACUAGAUAAGUAUGUUGAAGUUAGUUAAACCCUAAAUCCCUCUGAUUUAGCCAAAGGAAUUAUUUAGUAUUUUGUGGUCCAACAGCUUCUUGACAGCUCAUCAAAAUUAAAACUGUCAAUUUCAUUUCUGGAUGGAAACAACUAAAAAAGAAUAUCUUAGGAGCAAUGCUUUUACUUUUUAUUUCAUAUUUUCUGCUGUCUGUCAAUCUUCUGAUCAUAAAAAUACAUUUUAUAUAAAAUAUUUUAUGCACAUAAAAUGUACACAUGCGUAUACACAUGUACAUAAAAGAUGUCAUGUUUAUGUCAGUAAGGGUUAUCUGGUGCUAUAGAAUUUUAGGCCAGGUUUUUGGAUUCCCACCCUGAUUUUUUAAUUUUUAUUUCUAUGUAUUUAAAUUAAAAACUUUUAAAGUUGUCUCUCUUUGUCUUCACUCCUCUCAUCUGCUUUCCAUUGUAACAAAUAGAUCCUACUGUUUUUCCUUCAAGACUUCCUAAAAUUCUACUCCCGUCAAUGCUGGGCAGCAUAUCUUCAAGAAACUCCUACCAUUCUUCUCCCUCUCUUCCUCCUCCCCUUCCCUUCCCUCUACCUUUGUUGAGCUGAUUGUGUAUAUCUGCUAAUGGACAAGCACUGGGAUCUUAAGUUACAUAAAUCAAGACACUUGUCUUCACAAAGCUUGUUUUUUUUUUUUUUUUUAAAUAUUUAUUUUUUAGUUUUCGGCGGACACAACAUCUUUGUUUGUAUGUGGUGCUGAGGAUCGAACUCGGGCCGCACGCAUGCCAGGCGAGCGCGCUACUGCUUGAGCCACAUCCCCAGCCCCACAAAGCUUGUUUUAAUGUCAGGUACAUAUAUCAUAGUCUCAAUGCAAAAGAAUGGAAGAUAAUGCACAGAUAAUGAUUUAAAGCUUUACAGGCUUUUGUUACUUCCAUUCUUGGGAGAUCAGGUAAGAAAGGAGUUUUGUAGAAAAUAAGGGAAAUGAGUAUUUUUAAGGAAAGUGAAUGAGCAGGUUGACAAUACAGUUAUAUAAUGGGAGAACAAAAGGUAGAGGAACAAAGAAAUGACCAUAUUGAGGGAUUUUCUUUCAUCUUCUCUCUGAUACUCUGCCCUGCUGAGUUUCCUUCCUAUAGCCUACCUGUAUAAGAAUGAUUAUGAUCACGUUACUGACUCUAACCCACCUAUCUUCCUUUCUUUUCAGGAACAAUUACAGAACUCUUCACAUUUCCAAAAGAAAGGACUGCAGCAGAUAUUUCUGCUCCAGAGAAUCAGGAAUAGAAACCACAAAGACCAUGGAAAUGUUGAGCGCCCUUGUGGCCAGUAAGCAAUCACCUCCAGGGUCUGACUUCCAGAAGGUGGGUAUGGUAUGGCUGCUUGGGGCAGGAAUGGGUUAUGGAGAAAGCUCUGUCAUUUUAUCUAUGGGGAAAUAGUGAGUUGGGUGAACAAAUAUGUAUAUAUCUGUGUCUUUGUAUCAGUAGAGGAGGAACAGGAAAAGAAUGGAUAUAGAGGGUAUGUAUUUUAGACUUGCUAUUAUGCACCCAUUUAGCAUUGAAUAAACGAUUAAACUUCCAUUUAGCAUUGAAUAAACUAUUUUUUUUUGAGAGAGAAUUUUAAUAUUUAUUUUUUGGUUUUCGGCAGACACAAAGUCUUCGUUUGUAUGUGGUGCUGAGGAUCGAACCCGGGCCGCACGCAUGCCAGGCGAGCGCGCUACCGCUUGAGCCACAUCCCCAGCCCUGAAUAAACUAUUAAACUUCCAUUUCAUUUAGUGCUAUAAUAUUUAUGUUAAAACUAUGGAUUUAAUGCCUUCCCAUUCUUUUUAGGCCCUAUGCCUCAAUGUCUCUGGAAAGUAGAACAUCUCUUAUUUUGGUUCUACCCUCCCUUAAUGGACAAUUCAAGAAUUAAGGUAAAAUUGGAUAUGACCUUAGAGGAAUAGGGUAUAAAUAAGCAAAGGAGAUUCAAGGAAGGGGAACAAUUACAGAGGAGAUGUUUGAAAAAAGUCCUGGAAUAUCAGACAGUUGUCUACCAGAUUCCAUACAGUCUUUUUUUUAGAUGUGUAGACCUUUAUUUUAUUCGUUUAUUUAAAUGUGGUGCUGAGAAUUGAACCCAGUGCCUCACACAUGCUAGGCAAGUGCUCUACCACUGAGCCACAGCCUCAGCCCCUCCAUACAGUCUUAUUACUUUUCCUACACACAUUGAAAUAUCUGGGCCAGUCACAUGGUGCACAUGUGUAAUCCCAGCAAUUUGGGAGGCUAAGGCAGGAGGAUUGCAAAUUCGAGGCCAGCCUUGGCAGGUGAGACCCUGUCUCAAAAAUAAGUAAAUAAACAAAUGAAUAAAUAAAGUGCUAGAGAUAUAGCUCAGUGGUAGACCACCCCUGUUUUCAUCCCCAGUACUGAAAAAACAAACAUCUGGUACACAGGAACAGGCAAGCAUCAUUCCAAAAUACCAGGGAAACUUCUUACUCUCUAUCUAAAAUGAUGGACAUUUUUUUACUCCCUUUUUGUGUUUGGAACUGUGGGCUCAAAGACACAGUGGAAAAGAGAACCAGAAUUCAGUAUGACUUAAUUGAAUUUUAACUCCUUUAAACUCAGAUUCAUUUCAUUUAAAUCUAAGCUGCCCCAAUUACAGAUUUACCCAGAAAAUUCUUAGUUUUGUUCCUGAUUUGCAAAUCCAAUCACUUUUAGGGUCCUAGAGAUCUAGUUUACUGCCUAAAUCUAUGUUCUUGGUAACUUGACACUACAGCUAUUUAAAACAACCAAACAUACAUACAAUGUAUAACCAAAAUCAUCAGUAGAAUAAAAAGGAAAGGGUAAAAAGUAUCUCAGGAGCUCUUGGUACUGAGAUUUUUAUUAGUUAAGGACUACUCAUUCCUAAGGCAUGACCCUGUAGAUGAAGCAAUGGAAAGCAGCCUGGUGCCAGGGCUGCCAACGCUUUGUCACCACCACUUUCUCUCCCUUGUUCCAGCCCAAGAUCUGUUUCUCACCGUCUAUCAUAUACCUCUUCCCAGGAACAAUCAAGAGUGUUGGGCACAAGCUUUCAUUCCACGCUCUACUCCAGCCCCUAUUUUUCUACUUAUAUCUCAAUUCUCUAGUAGUAUCUAAAGUCUAUAUCUAAAGUAUACUGAUCUGGGGAGUGGGUGGGGGGAAGAAAACAUUUUUUUAGUAGUGUUUUCCUCUUUGGACUUCCUUGAUAUGCAGGAGUUCACGUGUAUUAUGAAUGAUGAAGUAUUUUAAGAUUUUUAUUGAAAUAUGAUUCAUAUAACA